RNAcentral lists this ribosomal RNA (1115 nucleotides) under uncultured organism. Its description in RNAcentral is "bacterial SSU rRNA". It matches the Rfam family "Bacterial small subunit ribosomal RNA", at positions 277 to 1414 of the family's 1533-position model. The record is from RNAcentral.
UGACGGGUACCUGGUCUGAGAGGACGACCAGGCAGACUGGGGCUGAGACACUGCCCAGACUCCUACGGGACGCAGCAGCAACGAAUUUUCCGCAAUGGACGCAAGUCUGACGGAGCAACGCCGCGUGCCGGAUGACGGCCUUCGCGUUGUACACGGCUUUUGGGUGGGACCAUCAUGACGGUACCACCCGAAUAAGCGCCGGCUAACUCCGUGCCAGCACCCCGCGGUAAGACGGACGGGGCCAAGCGUUGUCCGGACUCACUGGGCGUAAAGGGUGCGCACGCCGUGCCGUGCGUCUGCGCUGAAAGCGCCCGGCUUAACCGGGCGAGGUGCGGGCGAUACGACGGCACUUGAGGCACGUAGAGGUUGCGCGGAAUUCCGGGUGUAGUGCUGAAAUGCCGUAAAGAUCCGGCACGAACCUCCGUGCGCGUAAGCGGCCAACUGCGGCCUGUCCUGACGCUGAGGCACGUAAGCGUGGGGAGCGAACCGGAUUAGAUACCCGGGUAGUCCACGCCGUAAACGCUGUCGGCUCGGUGUGUGGUCUCAUUACGGGACUGCGUGCCCCAGCUCACGCGGUAAGCCGACCGCCUGGGGACUACGGCCGCAAGGCUAAAACUCAAAGGAAUUGACGGGGGCCCGCACAAGCAGCGGAGCGUGUGGUUUAAUUCGACGCAACGCGAAGAACCUUACCCAGAUUUGACAUGCGACUGCAAGCGCACGGAAACGUGUGACCUGCGAGGGUGUCGCACAGGUGCUGCAUGGCUGUCGUCAGCUCGUGUCGUGAGAUGUUGGGUUAAGUCCCGCAACGAGCGCAACCCCCGCCGUCAGUUAUACGUGUCUGGCGGGACUGCCGGCUGUUUGGUCGGAGGAAGGCGGGGAUGACGUCAAGUCCGCAUGGCCCGUACGUCUGGGGCGACACACACGCUACAAUGGCCGGCACAGCACGCCGCAAACCCGCAAGGGGGAGCUAAUCGCCAACGCCGGUCCCAGUGCAGAUCGGGGGCUGCAACUCGCCCCCGUGAAGGCGGAGUUGCUAGUAACCCGCGUAUCAGCCAUGGCGCGGUGAAUACGUACCCGGGCCUUGUACACACCGCCCGUCACGUCAUGGGAGUUGG